UACGUAGGGGGCAAGCGUUGUCCGGAAUCAUUGGGCGUAAAGAGCGUGUAGGCGGCCAGAAAAGUCCGCUGUGAAAACUCGAGGCUCAACUUCGAGCUGUCGGUGGAAACUUUCUGGCUAGAGUCCGGAAGAGGAGAAUGGAAUUCCUGGUGUAGCGGUGAAAUGCGCAGAUAUCAGGAAGAACACCCGUGGCGAAGGCGGUUCUCUGGGACGGUACUGACGCUGAGACGCGAAAGCGUGGGGAGCAAACAGG
Molecule: ribosomal RNA, 253 nt
Filed under: uncultured bacterium
Lineage: Bacteria
Description: partial 16S ribosomal RNA
Rfam family: Bacterial small subunit ribosomal RNA
Source: RNAcentral